RNA transcript from Nicrophorus vespilloides, 670 nucleotides. It is a transcript of the gene named probable peptide chain release factor C12orf65, mitochondrial, with no coding region annotated. NCBI's taxonomy places the organism in Eukaryota, Metazoa, Arthropoda, Insecta, Coleoptera, Silphidae. The record is from RefSeq and is a predicted model, not a curated record. The transcript is spliced from 3 exons.
CAAGCUGUAAUAUAAAUAAACAUGUUGACUAGUGUAAAUAGAAUAUGCUUUACUUUUGUCCGUUGUAAGCAUAAAUUAGAUUACUCCAAAGUACCCAAGUUAGUUGAUAGUGAAUUGCUGGAACAGCAUGUCCGAGGGAGUGGACCAGGGGGACAAGCAACCAACAAAACAUCCAAUUGUGUUGUUCUGAAACAUCUACCAACUGGGAUUGUCAUCAAAUGCCACGAGAGUAGAUCUUUGGAUCAGAACAGGAAGAAAGCAAGAUCACUAUUAGUCACAAAAUUAGAUAAUUUAAUAAAUAAAGAGAAUAGUGUGGAGGCCCAGGCGAAGCUGCUCGAUAACAAAAAGACUACGGAGAUGGAGCGUAAGAGGCAGAAGCGCCAGGCACUCAAAAACGAAUGGAAAACGCGAGAAAACUUAAUAGAUUAAAUUAAAAAAAUAUUCAACAAUAAAUGGUUUCUUGUGUAGAUGAGAGGAAGUAAAGCUUUCGUCGUCUUCGAAACCUCGAACCAACUCAUCCAAAGCGCCUUCUUGCGUCAACGAGGUGUUUGCAACUGACUUCUUCAUCACCUCCACCACUUCAUCGUAAUCUCCUCUGGACACGCAUUCUUAAUAGGCGUUAUCGAAGUCAUAUCUGCAAGAAGAAACAAAAACUGAGUUUAUUUACUGG